RNAcentral lists this unclassified non-coding RNA (225 nucleotides) under plant metagenome. RNAcentral's name for it is "partial contains small subunit ribosomal RNA, internal transcribed spacer 1, and 5.8S ribosomal RNA". The record is from RNAcentral.
UCUCCGUUGGUGAACCAGCGGAGGGAUCAUUACAGGACUCGCAAGACUCCUACAACCCUGUGAACUUAACUAUAAGCACGUUGCUUCGGCGGGUGUCUCGGAGGGGGUUCUCCCUCCCCGAGACGCUAAACCCGCCGGCAGCCUACUAUACUCUGUCUCUUUGCGUUGGCAUCUCGAGUACAAUCUAACAAGUUAAAACUUUCAACAACGGAUCUCUUGGUUCUG